UGAGGAACAUGACCUUCGGCGGGGGAUAGCCGGCCCAACGGCCGGGUAAUACCGCGUACGACCACAUGGGGACAUCCCUGAGUGGUGAAAGCAGCAAUGCGCCGAUGGAGUGCCUCGCGGCCUAUCAGCUUGUUGGGUGGGGUNAUGGCCUACCAAGGCGACGACGGGUAGCCGGCCUGAGGAGGGCCGUCCCGGCCACACGUGGGACUGAGACACGGUCCAGACUCCGAGGGAG
Molecule: ribosomal RNA, 235 nt
Filed under: uncultured bacterium
Lineage: Bacteria
Description: partial 16S ribosomal RNA
Rfam family: Bacterial small subunit ribosomal RNA
Source: RNAcentral